Molecule: ribosomal RNA, 497 nt
Filed under: uncultured bacterium
Lineage: Bacteria
Description: partial 16S ribosomal RNA
Rfam family: Bacterial small subunit ribosomal RNA
Source: RNAcentral
GAUGGACGCUGGCGGCGUGCCUAAUACAUGCAAGUCGAGCGAACAGACGAGGAGCUUGCUCCUCUGACGUUAGCGGCGGACGUGUGAGUAACACGUGGAUAACCUACCUAUAAUACUUGUAUAACUUCGGGAAACCGUAGCUAAUACCGGAUAAUAUAUUGAACCGCAUGGUUCAAUAGUGUAAGACGGUUUUGCUUUCACUUAUAGAUGUAUCCGCGCCGCAUUAGCUAGUUGGUAAGGUAACGGCUUACCAAGGCAACGAUGCGUAUCCGACCUGAGAGGGUGAUCGGCCAAACUGGAACUGAGACAAGGAACAGAGUACUACGGGAGGCAGCAGUAGGGAAUAUUCCGCAAUGGGCGAAAGCAUGACGGAGCAACGCCGCGUGAGUGAUGAAGGUCUUCGGAUCGUAAAACUCUGUUAUUAGGGAAGAACAAAUGUGUAAGUAACUAUGCACGUCUUGACGGUAACUAAUCAGAAAGCCACGGCUAACUACGUG